AAUUGUAUGAUGAAUGUUCUAUUUCUGAAGAGUCGAGUGCCUGGUCUUCGGGCCUGGCAUUCUUUUCCUGUAGAAAGAAUAAGAACGGCCAACUGAUAAA
RNAcentral lists this small nucleolar RNA (100 nucleotides) under Drosophila subobscura. Lineage: Eukaryota; Metazoa; Arthropoda; Insecta; Diptera; Drosophilidae. The record is from RNAcentral.